This 240-nucleotide unclassified non-coding RNA is filed under the name uncultured Psathyrella. RNAcentral describes it as "sequence contains ITS1". The record is from RNAcentral. Lineage: Eukaryota; Fungi; Basidiomycota; Agaricomycetes; Agaricales; Psathyrellaceae.
AUGAAUAUCUAUGGCGUUGGUAGUUGCUGGCUUCUAGGAGCAUGUGCACACCCGUCAUUUUUAUCUUUCCACCUGUGCACUCAAUGUAGGCUUGGAUAACUCUCGCUCUCUCGAGCGGAUGCAAGGAUUGGUGUGUCGCAAGACCAGCUUUCUUUGAAUUUCCAAGUCUAUGUAUUUUACAAACCCCAAUUGAAUGAUGAAGAAUGUAGUCAAUGGGCUUUUAGCCUAUAAAACAAUAUA